Molecule: long non-coding RNA, 329 nt
Filed under: Elaeis guineensis (African oil palm)
Lineage: Eukaryota; Viridiplantae; Streptophyta; Magnoliopsida; Arecales; Arecaceae
Description: long non-coding RNA (EGUI_LNC076940)
Source: RNAcentral
GGCUGACUUCUAUUGUAGGCAUAAUUCUGGUAUGGAGGCCUACUCUGAAAGUUUUGCAAAGGAAGAAUUUAGAUCUGAGCCUGAGUCUGUUGGGGUCUCCAAGAAAAAUUAGGAUGGUUCCUCCAAUCUUGGUUAUAUGCAUUUAAGAAUGGGUCAUUGACAGGAUUAGAAUAACCUUGAGCAGCUUAAACUUGUUCUUGGAUGAAAGAUGAAAACUGUGCAGCCAUUGGAUAUUCGCUCACAUGAUGGGUCAGGCUAGCACAAAUAGAACAAAUCUCCUGAUAAUUAGGUAGUGGUGUGUAUUGUGCAAGAGAUUGUUGACCUAGUGC